AACGAACGCUGGCGGCAUGCCUAACACAUGCAAGUCGAACGAGACCUUCGGGUCUAGUGGCGCACGGGUGCGUAACGCGUGGGAACCUGCCCUUAGGUUCGGAAUAACUCCCCGAAAGGGGUGCUAAUACCGGUUAAUGUCUUCGGACCAAAGAUUUAUCGCCUUUGGUUGGGCCCGCGUUGGAUUAGAUAGUUGGUAGGGUAAAAGCCUACCAAGGCGACGAUCCAUAGCUGGUCAGAGAGGAUGAUCAGCCACACUGGGACUGAGACACGGCCCAGACUACUACGGGAGGCAGCAGUGGGGAAUAUUGGACAAUGGGCGAAAGCCUGAUCAAGCAAUGCCGCGUGAGUGAUGAAGGCCUUAGGGUUGUAAAGCUCUUUUACCCGGGAUGAUAAUGACAGUACCGGGAGAAUAAGCUCCGGCUAACUCCGUG
This 433-nucleotide ribosomal RNA is filed under the name uncultured bacterium. RNAcentral describes it as "partial 16S ribosomal RNA". It matches the Rfam family "Bacterial small subunit ribosomal RNA", at positions 29 to 507 of the family's 1533-position model. The record is from RNAcentral.